GAUGAAGAACGCAGCGAAAUGCGAUACGUAAUGUGAAUUGCAGAUUUCAGUGAAUCAUCGAAUCUUUGAACGCACAUUGCGCCCGCCAGUAUUCUGGCGGGCAUGCCUGUUCGAGCGUCAUUUCAACCUUCAAGCGCCUGCGCUUGUGUUGGAGCCCUGCGGCUGCCGCAGGCUCUCAAACCCAGUGGCGGGCUCGUCGUCGUACCGAGUGCAGUAAAUUUACCACGCUCAGGGCACGCGACGGGUGACCGGCCGUAAAACCCCCAUCUUCUCAAGGUUGACCUCGGAUCAGGUAGGAAUACCCGCUGAACUUAAGCAUAUCAAUAAGCGGAGGA
This 335-nucleotide unclassified non-coding RNA is filed under the name soil metagenome. Its description in RNAcentral is "partial contains 5.8S ribosomal RNA, internal transcribed spacer 2, and large subunit ribosomal RNA". The stretch from base 1 to 120 matches the Rfam family "5.8S ribosomal RNA", at positions 35 to 154 of the family's 154-position model. The record is from RNAcentral.